GGGCGUAUAGUUCAGUGGUAGAACGUCUGUUUUGCAAUACCUUGCUUGCCCUCGGUACCCGCUUAUACAGAAGGUCCCGUGUUCAAACCACGGUUCGUCCA
Transfer RNA from Sordaria macrospora k-hell, 101 nucleotides. It matches the Rfam family "tRNA". Rfam says of the family: Transfer RNA (tRNA) molecules are approximately 80 nucleotides in length. Their secondary structure includes four short double-helical elements and three loops (D, anti-codon, and T loops). The record is from Rfam. Lineage: Eukaryota; Fungi; Ascomycota; Sordariomycetes; Sordariales; Sordariaceae.